CCUACGGGCGGCAGCAGUGAGGAAUAUUGGUCAAUGGACGAGAGUCUGAACCAGCCAAGUAGCGUGAAGGAUGAAGGUCCUACGGAUUGUAAACUUCUUUUAUAAGGGAAUAAAAUCUCCCACGUGUGGGAGCUUGUAUGUACCUUAUGAAUAAGCAUCGGCUAACUCCGUGCCAGCAGCCGCGGUAAUACGGAGGGUGCAAGCGUUAUCCGGAUUUAUUGGGUUUAAAGGGAGCGCAGACGGGUCGUUAAGUCAGCUGUGAAAGUUUGGGGCUCAACCUUAAAAUUGCAGUUGAUACUGGCGUCCUUGAGUGCGGUUGAGGUGUGCGGAAUUCGUGGUGUAGCGGUGAAAUGCUUAGAUAUCACGAAGAACUCCGAUUGCGAAGGCAGCACACUAAGCCGUAACUGACGUUCAUGCUCGAAAGUGUGGGUAUCAAACAGGAUUAGAUACCCGGGUAGUC
RNAcentral lists this ribosomal RNA (460 nucleotides) under Chryseobacterium viscerum. Its description in RNAcentral is "bacterial SSU rRNA". It matches the Rfam family "Bacterial small subunit ribosomal RNA", at positions 338 to 795 of the family's 1533-position model. Lineage: Bacteria; Pseudomonadati; Bacteroidota; Flavobacteriia; Flavobacteriales; Weeksellaceae. The record is from RNAcentral.